This 217-nucleotide long non-coding RNA is filed under the name Mytilus galloprovincialis (Mediterranean mussel). The record is from RNAcentral. Lineage: Eukaryota; Metazoa; Mollusca; Bivalvia; Mytilida; Mytilidae.
GGGGGAAGCAACACAACAACCAGUUGUCAAAUUCAUCUGAAAAUUUCAGGGCAGAUAGAUAUUGACUUGAUAAACAAUUUAACACCUUGUCAGAUUUGCUCUAAAUGCUUUGGUUUCAAAGUUAUAAGCCAAAGUCUACAUUUUACUCUGAUGUUCUAUUUAUAGCCAUGGUGGCCAUCUUGGUUGUAUGGCCGGGUCACCGGACACAUUUUUUUAA